GAGUUUGAUCAUGGCUCAGGAUGAACGCUAGCGGCAGGCUUAAUACAUGCAAGUCGAGGGGCAGCGCGGGGCAACCUGGCGGCGAGCGGCGAACGGGUGAGUAAUGCAUCGGAACAUGUCCAUGUCGUGGGGGAUAGCCCGGCGAAAGCCGGAUUAAUACCGCAUACGCCCGAGAGGGGAAAGUGGGGGACCGCAAGGCCUCACGCGAUUGGGUUGGCCGAUGUCCGAUUAGCUAGUUGGCGGGGUAAGAGCCCACCAAGGCGAUGAUCGGUAGCUGGUCUGAGAGGAUGAUCAGCCACACUGGGACUGAGACACGGCCCAGACUCCUACGGGAGGCAGCAGUGGGGAAUUUUGGACAAUGGGGGCAACCCUGAUCCAGCCAUUCCGCGUGAGUGAAGAAGGCC
RNAcentral lists this ribosomal RNA (404 nucleotides) under uncultured beta proteobacterium. Its description in RNAcentral is "bacterial SSU rRNA". It matches the Rfam family "Bacterial small subunit ribosomal RNA", at positions 9 to 416 of the family's 1533-position model. The record is from RNAcentral. Lineage: Bacteria; Pseudomonadati; Pseudomonadota; Betaproteobacteria.